GUCCACGCCCUAAACGAUGUCAACUGGUUGUCGGGGAAGCAAUUCCUUGGUAACGAAGCUAACGCGUGAAGUUGACCGCCUGGGGAGUACGGCCGCAAGGUUAAAACUCAAAGGAAUUGACGGGGACCCGCACAAGCGGUGGAUUAUGUGGAUCAAUUCGAUGCAACGCGAAAAACCUUACCUACCCUUGACAUGUACGGAAGCUCGCAGAGAUGUGAGUGUGCCCGAAAGGGAGCCGUAACACAGGUGCUGCAUGGCUGUCGU
RNAcentral lists this ribosomal RNA (264 nucleotides) under uncultured bacterium. RNAcentral describes it as "partial 16S ribosomal RNA". It matches the Rfam family "Bacterial small subunit ribosomal RNA", at positions 793 to 1055 of the family's 1533-position model. The record is from RNAcentral.